AUUGAGAUUUAACUGUAGUUAAAGGAAUACCUGCCUGGAGGGAACUAACAAUAUGGAAAAUGGCACAAAUGCAUCUAAAAGACCAAGUUUUCAGCAAUGUAACUACAUUAACUACAUCAUUGGCUUUGUGCAGACUGGUUAAAACCACU
Long non-coding RNA from Octopus sinensis (East Asian common octopus), 149 nucleotides. RefSeq lists it as uncharacterized. The transcript has 3 exons. The record is from RefSeq and is a predicted model, not a curated record. NCBI's taxonomy places the organism in Eukaryota, Metazoa, Mollusca, Cephalopoda, Octopoda, Octopodidae.